AGUGAACGCUGGCGGUAGGCCUAACACAUGCAAGUCGAACGGCAGCACAGGAGAGCUUGCUCUCUGGGUGGCGAGUGGCGGACGGGUGAGGAAUACAUCGGAAUCUACUCUGUCGUGGGGGAUAACGUAGGGAAACUUACGCUAAUACCGCAUACGACCUACGGGUGAAAGCAGGGGACCUUCGGGCCUUGCGCGAUUGAAUGAGCCGAUGUCGGAUUAGCUAGUUGGCGGGGUAAAGGCCCACCAAGGCGAAGAUCCGUAGCUGGUCUGAGAGGAUGAUCAGCCACACUGGAACUGAGACACGGUCCAGACUCCUACGGGAGGCAGCAGUGGGGAAUAUUGGUCAAUGGGCGCAAGCCUGAUCCAGCCAUACCGCGUGGGUGAAGAAGGCCUUCGGGUUGUAAAGCCCUUUUGUUAGGAAAGAAAUCCAGCUGGCUAAUACCCGGUUGGGAUGACGGUACCUAAAGAAUAAGCACCGGCUAACUUCGUGCCAGCCGCCGCCGUAA
Molecule: ribosomal RNA, 506 nt
Filed under: uncultured bacterium
Lineage: Bacteria
Description: partial 16S ribosomal RNA
Rfam family: Bacterial small subunit ribosomal RNA
Source: RNAcentral